Molecule: ribosomal RNA, 515 nt
Filed under: Polyphagoides cantrelli
Lineage: Eukaryota; Metazoa; Arthropoda; Insecta; Blattodea; Corydiidae
Description: eukaryotic LSU rRNA
Rfam family: Eukaryotic large subunit ribosomal RNA
Source: RNAcentral
AGUCAAUGGGCUGAGCUAAACCCAGAGGCGCAGUGAAAGCGGGGCGUACCCUUUGCGGUCGCCGUGGGAGGAUGGCCCUUUCGCGGGGCCCGCACUCCCGGGGCGCCUCGGCCUAGGCCGCAGGCGCACCCCGAGCGUACACGUUGGGACCCGAAAGAUGGUGAACUAUGCCUGGUCAGGACGAAGUCAGGGGAAACCCUGAUGGAGGUCCGCAGCGAUUCUGACGUGCAAAUCGAUCGUCAGAGCUGGGUAUAGGGGCGAAAGACUAAUCGAACCAUCUAGUAGCUGGUUCCCUCCGAAGUUUCCCUCAGGAUAGCUGGCGCUUAUUUGGACUGGGACGAGUCCCAUCCGGUAAAGCGAAUGAUUAGAGGCCUUGGGGCCGAAACGACCUCAACCUAUUCUCAAACUUUAAAUGGGUGGGAUCUCCGGCUUGCUUGACUGAAGCCGUGAGAGCCGCCGGAUCAAAGUGCCAAGUGGGCCAUUUUUGGUAAGCAGAACUGGCGCUGUGGGAUGAA